CAGCAGCCGCGGUAAUACAGAGGGUGCAAGCGUUAAUCGGAAUUACUGGGCGUAAAGCGCGCGUAGGUGGUUUGUUAAGUUGGAUGUGAAAUCCCCGGGCUCAACCUGGGAACUGCAUCCAAAACUGGCAAGCUAGAGUAUGGUAGAGGGUGGUGGAAUUUCCUGUGUAGCGGUGAAAUGCGUAGAUAUAGGAAGGAACACCAGUGGCGAAGGCGACCACCUGGACUGAUACUGACACUGAGGUGCGAAAGCGUGGGGAGCAAACAGGAUUAGAGACCCCCGUAGUCCCUGUCUCUUAUAC
Molecule: ribosomal RNA, 301 nt
Filed under: uncultured bacterium
Lineage: Bacteria
Description: partial 16S ribosomal RNA
Rfam family: Bacterial small subunit ribosomal RNA
Source: RNAcentral